AUGUUUCUGCCCCACCCCUGCAUCAAUGCCUACAUUUGUAGCUAUGAACAGUCUCUAAGGAGGCUGUGCCAAGUUCUAAGCCGGGACUUUCAAAGACUUGCCUGGGUGCUGCCGCCUCUGGACAUAAACUUUGAGAGUGCUGUACAGUCUGGACUGAGCUUAGCUACCUCUGCUGUUGAACUUGAAGCCUUCCUGUCGUAUGUGGUGUGCAUCCAUGUGGACUAGUUGCACAUGUUCAGUAUGCUGUCCCUGAGGUCAAGAGUCAUCCGACUGACGCUUCAGCCCAGGAGUUUGGGCUGCGAUGAGCUGUGAUUGCACCACCGCCACUGCACUGCAGCCUGGAUAACAGAGCUGAGACCUCAUCUCUAAUAAAUAAGUAAAUAUUUUUUUAAAAAAUUCUUUU
Molecule: long non-coding RNA, 403 nt
Filed under: Piliocolobus tephrosceles (Ugandan red Colobus)
Lineage: Eukaryota; Metazoa; Chordata; Mammalia; Primates; Cercopithecidae
Description: lncRNA (ENSPTEG00000030544.1)
Source: RNAcentral